UGCGUAGGCGGAAUAAUAAGUCAGUGGUAAAAUCCUGUGGCUCAACCACAGAACUGCCAUUGAUACUGUUAUUCUUGAAUAUAGUUGAGGUAGGCGGAAUGUGUAAUGUAGCGGUGAAAUGCUUAGAUAUUACACAGAACACCGAUUGCGAAGGCAGCUUGCUAAACUAUUAUUGACGCUGAGGCACGAAAGCGUGGGGAGCGAACAGGAUUAGAUACCCUGGUAGUCC
This 229-nucleotide ribosomal RNA is filed under the name uncultured bacterium. RNAcentral describes it as "partial 16S ribosomal RNA". It matches the Rfam family "Bacterial small subunit ribosomal RNA", at positions 568 to 796 of the family's 1533-position model. The record is from RNAcentral.